RNAcentral lists this ribosomal RNA (1693 nucleotides) under Staphylococcus aureus. RNAcentral describes it as "partial 23S ribosomal RNA". It matches the Rfam family "Bacterial large subunit ribosomal RNA", at positions 1209 to 2904 of the family's 2925-position model. The record is from RNAcentral. Lineage: Bacteria; Bacillati; Bacillota; Bacilli; Caryophanales; Staphylococcaceae.
GUCCUUUGGACAAUGGUAGGAGAGCGUUCUAAGGGCGUUGAAGCAUGAUCGUAAGGACAUGUGGAGCGCUUAGAAGUGAGAAUGCCGGUGUGAGUAGCGAAAGACGGGUGAGAAUCCCGUCCACCGAUUGACUAAGGUUUCCAGAGGAAGGCUCGUCCGCUCUGGGUUAGUCGGGUCCUAAGCUGAGGCCGACAGGCGUAGGCGAUGGAUAACAGGUUGAUAUUCCUGUACCACCUAUAAUCGUUUUAAUCGAUGGGGGGACGCAGUAGGAUAGGCGAAGCGUGCGAUUGGAUUGCACGUCUAAGCAGUAAGGCUGAGUAUUAGGCAAAUCCGGUACUCAUUAAGGCUGAGCUGUGAUGGGGAGAAGACAUUGUGUCUUCGAGUCGUUGAUUUCACACUGCCGAGAAAAGCCUCUAGAUAGAAAAUAGGUGCCCGUACCGCAAACCGACACAGGUAGUCAAGAUGAGAAUUCUAAGGUGAGCGAGCGAACUCUCGUUAAGGAACUCGGCAAAAUGACCCCGUAACUUCGGGAGAAGGGGUGCUCUUUAGGGUUAACGCCCAGAAGAGCCGCAGUGAAUAGGCCCAAGCGACUGUUUAUCAAAAACACAGGUCUCUGCUAAACCGUAAGGUGAUGUAUAGGGGCUGACGCCUGCCCGGUGCUGGAAGGUUAAGAGGAGUGGUUAGCUUCUGCGAAGCUACGAAUCGAAGCCCCAGUAAACGGCGGCCGUAACUAUAACGGUCCUAAGGUAGCGAAAUUCCUUGUCGGGUAAGUUCCGACCCGCACGAAAGGCGUAACGAUUUGGGCACUGUCUCAACGAGAGACUCGGUGAAAUCAUAGUACCUGUGAAGAUGCAGGUUACCCGCGACAGGACGGAAAGACCCCGUGGAGCUUUACUGUAGCCUGAUAUUGAAAUUCGGCACAGCUUGUACAGGAUAGGUAGGAGCCUUUGAAACGUGAGCGCUAGCUUACGUGGAGGCGCUGGUGGGAUACUACCCUAGCUGUGUUGGCUUUCUAACCCGCACCACUUAUCGUGGUGGGAGACAGUGUCAGGCGGGCAGUUUGACUGGGGCGGUCGCCUCCUAAAAGGUAACGGAGGCGCUCAAAGGUUCCCUCAGAAUGGUUGGAAAUCAUUCAUAGAGUGUAAAGGCAUAAGGGAGCUUGACUGCGAGACCUACAAGUCGAGCAGGGUCGAAAGACGGACUUAGUGAUCCGGUGGUUCCGCAUGGAAGGGCCAUCGCUCAACGGAUAAAAGCUACCCCGGGGAUAACAGGCUUAUCUCCCCCAAGAGUUCACAUCGACGGGGAGGUUUGGCACCUCGAUGUCGGCUCAUCGCAUCCUGGGGCUGUAGUCGGUCCCAAGGGUUGGGCUGUUCGCCCAUUAAAGCGGUACGCGAGCUGGGUUCAGAACGUCGUGAGACAGUUCGGUCCCUAUCCGUCGUGGGCGUAGGAAAUUUGAGAGGAGCUGUCCUUAGUACGAGAGGACCGGGAUGGACAUACCUCUGGUGUACCAGUUGUCGUGCCAACGGCAUAGCUGGGUAGCUAUGUGUGGACGGGAUAAGUGCUGAAAGCAUCUAAGCAUGAAGCCCCCCUCAAGAUGAGAUUUCCCAACUUCGGUUAUAAGAUCCCUCAAAGAUGAUGAGGUUAAUAGGUUCGAGGUGGAAGCAUGGUGACAUGUGGAGCUGACGAAUACUAA